RNAcentral lists this transfer RNA (73 nucleotides) under Vicugna pacos (alpaca). RNAcentral describes it as "tRNA-Ser (AGA) (tRNA-Ser-AGA-19-1)". It matches the Rfam family "tRNA". Rfam says of the family: Transfer RNA (tRNA) molecules are approximately 80 nucleotides in length. Their secondary structure includes four short double-helical elements and three loops (D, anti-codon, and T loops). Further hydrogen bonds mediate the characteristic L-shaped molecular structure. tRNAs have two regions of fundamental functional importance: the anti-codon, which is responsible for specific mRNA codon recognition, and the 3' end, to which the tRNAs corresponding amino acid is attached (by aminoacyl-tRNA synthetases). tRNAs cope with the degeneracy of the genetic code in two manners: having more than one tRNA (with a specific anti-codon) for a particular amino acid; and 'wobble' base-pairing, i.e. permitting non-standard base-pairing at the 3rd anti-codon position. Lineage: Eukaryota; Metazoa; Chordata; Mammalia; Artiodactyla; Camelidae. The record is from RNAcentral.
GGAGGGUAUAGCUCAGUGGUAGAGUGCGUGCUUAGAAUGCACAAGGCCCUGGGUUCAAUCCCCAGUACCUCCA